Molecule: non-coding RNA, 3187 nt
Organism: Phalacrocorax carbo (great cormorant)
Lineage: Eukaryota; Metazoa; Chordata; Aves; Suliformes; Phalacrocoracidae
Source: RefSeq, a predicted model, not a curated record
AACACAGAGGACAUUUUGGAGGAAGGGAGCAGCCAAAAGCCUUCGUUAGUGGGGAAGAGGAGGAAGAAGAGAAUGAGGACCGACCCGGCUGCAUUAACACCCUUCUCCCCAUGAGUCAGGAGCAGUGGGGAGGCAUCAGCCUCCAUCCCACCGCCCAGCCCCUCCACACCCAGCGCUGCUGGCUUCGCACCUGGCUGCUCCCCGCAGCUCCCUGCCGAUGGGGGAAGACACCCAGCAACAGCUCUGGGGUUUUUUUCAGCCAAACUUUGCCCAGAUGCUUUUGCAGCCCCAGCCUUCCCCACCAUCCCUUCAGUGUUUCCAGCUGCCUCUGGCAUAAACCCGCUAACCUUGAGCCAAAGCCCAGAGCAGCUGCUCAUGUCCCACGUUCCCACGGUCCUCAGUGCCGGAGAAGGGCUGGAUAAAUCACUCCAGCGAGGGAGAGCACCACUGACCUGCCCCGCCUUAGCCAGCCUUUCCUGCAGCUCCAGGUUUAUCCACGUUUGUCCCAGCGAGGUGCUUUUUGUGAUCUCAGGGUUACAGCUCCCCAAGGACUAAUCGAGGAACCUGCUUACCACCAAAGGCUGCAGCAGAGCUGAUGUCUGCUCCCUCUGAGGAUGCUUUUUGCUGCUUUCCCCACAUGAAGCACAAGGAGACUCUGCUUUUCCCCAUAUCCUGCUCUCCCCUGCCAAGUAAUUUAUGCAGGACCAGCGUCCCAUCACUGUAGCUUUGCUGCUGUCAGUGUCCCCGCUGUCCCCCAAGGGUUGUGGCUGCCAGCAUCCUCCGCUGGCUUGGUGCCGAGCCCUGGGUCUCUCCUGGGACCUGCUCACAGCCUCGGCAGCACAAAGCCAUGUUUGCUGCAUCCUCAUCCUCCUGUGGGCUUUGGGCACCCUGACUGCCCCAGCCCUCGCAGGAACCUGGGGCACCCCCUGCCCUCUGGAAAGCAGCAAAGGCGACAGAGAGACCGAGGCCCCAGACAUAUGUCCUUGCAGGCAAUGUGCUCCUUUUCCAUCCCAGAUCUUCACAUUCCCAUCCUGAAACUCAGGCAGGGCAGGACCAGGCAUUGCGCUCCAUCCCCUCCUGGCCACCAAAAAUGGCCUGGAUGAAGGAGCCAAUGAUGGCCAUUAAACACCCUGCAAGCCCUGGAAAGAGGGUCUGGCUGGGGGAGGGACUGUGUCAUGCUGCUUCACUCCUCCCUGGACAUCUCCUGGGGUGGGAGGUGAUGGGGCCGGGGCUGCCCUGGGGUGGCUGGGAGGGGAAAGGCCUGUUUCAAAAAUAAAGGAUCUCAUGGGUAAAUGCACAUAGCCCUGGUGCUGCAUCAUGGAGGGACGUGCCACCCCCGAGGCUGGCUCUGGGAACGACACUAACUCUUCUGGACUCUCAGCACCCCUGCACUUCGCUCAUCUCCUGUGGCCCAAGGACAUGGAUGCUCCCCCAUAUGCAUGGGUAUGGUGGGUCAGAGGCAGGGCUGAGCCCAUCACACCCCCGGGCUGGUCUCUUCGCCCUCCCAAGGGACCCACUGGGCACCCGCAGGCAUCAGAAGAGCUGUGGGUCCCCCAGGAGCCACACACAAGGGGGGCUGUCACAGCACCCAGCCCUGCAGAGCCUCCACAGCCUCCUGGAGGGGUCCCUGCACCCACUCUGCUCUGGCCAUGGGGGUGCAGCACCCACCCUCUGCCAGCUCCAGCCCAGCCACACAUUAGGCAUUGCCCAAGGGGGAGCUGGAUGCUCAGAACCCCCCCACCUCUCCCUAGGGAUGCUGGACAGGGCAGAGAUUUCUGGGUCCUUCCAGGACCACACUCAGUGACUCAAGGCCAUGGAAGGCAGGCUGCAGCAAUGGCACCAGGCUCCUCUGCACCCCUCACAGCCUCUGCCCCAGCCUGGAGCCAUCCAAGAUACUUAUUUUAAAAAUACCUCGUCCUUCCCUGCAAGCACCGCUGCCUCCCAGGUCUUGCAGUGCUCUGCAGCCCCAAAACGGCUCAGAGAGGUUGGGAGAGCUUUGCACAGGGGUGCAGAGAGGUGCACAGCCAUCAGCAGCGGUGCACAGCCAUGCACAGGGGUGCAGAGCCCGGCAGGACAGCAGGCAGGACAGCAGGCAGGACAGCAGGCAGGACAGCAGGCAGGACAGCAGGCAGACGGGAGCCCUCCCGCGGCGAUCCCCAGCCCUGCUCCCAGCUGCAAAGGCACACAGUGGCCGCUGCACCAGAGGGAUGCCUGCACAGCUGUGCCGCUCCAUCCUCCCAGGUGCUGCUGCUUGCACCGACUGCAGGGCUUUUUGCUUUUGCCUUUUGGAUUUCAAGCCUUUAGGUCUUGCGUUUUCCAGCUUUCCCCCCCCCCCCUCAUUAUGGGGAGAUCUGGGAAUUCCCUUUCCCAAGCAAAUAAGCUAGGAGCGGUGCUGCGGAUGAUGCCAACGGCAAGAGCAGCACUGGCUGCUCAGCCCCAGCACAGAAAACUGUUCCCCAAGCCCCCCCUGCCUGGAUUCUGCUGCCUCCAGGGCUGAGCCGAGCUGUGUUUCCUUCCACAGGGUCAGGGUGUUUGCAAACAGUUUGGAAAACCCCAAAUCAGCCCCUGCACGGACCCACUGUGCAAAGGCCAAACCCAGGUUUCUACAACUUCAGGAACCGCAGCAGCAAAGAGGCUUUUCCUUCGAUGUUUGGGGUGAAACAGGCCUGUUUCAGGUCCCUGGGCAUGCCAGACUCCUGGGGCAGAGGUGGCUGGUUUCCAUGGAAGCGAUGCCAAGGUUGAAGGUGCUGCAGAAUGAACCCCAUGGGGAAAACGGGCAUCAGGAGCGUGACAUCCCAGCAAUUCACCUGCUUUGCCUUAAAAGAAGAAAAAAAUAACAAAAAAAAGAAUAUUUUAGCUCUCCCACAGCCAAACACGAGAGGAAAUUGAAGCCGCAGCACGCGACGUGGGUGUGGGGCCAUCCCAGGUUAGAGGACGCGGAUCUACGGCUUGUGAUUGAAGUGAUGGGGCAGUUAUUUGUUUUCUUACAUAAAAAUAAUCGCAGGUACUACACCUGCAUCUGAAGUAUUGCGGUUUUCAAAUGGCAUCUUCCUGUUCCUCUCCGGUCGUUGCUUGAAGACCAAAAGGGGGAACAAACUAUGUCUGACCAACAGUGAAACCAAGCACCUGCCAGGCACGGCAGAAAAACCCACCCUCCGGCUUUGUGAGUUUAAAAGGGGGGGGGGAA